GGAAUGGGGAAGACGGGAGAAAGAGCCUGGGUGUGCAACUGAAUCUCACCUUGGACACUCACUGGCCAGAUGGGACUGCGGGCCUCCCUUGGUCUGAACACCUCGCCACAGCAGCUCUGAGUGGCACCGAGGUGGAGGGGCAGGCACCCCUGGACCCUCAUCGCUGUCUGAGGUCUGAAGUGGCAAGCUUGGGGAUCUAGUCAUCUUGCUCCCUGGUCCUUUUCUGGUCUUGGACCUGUUUCUUGCUAAAAAAAACAAAAGA
Molecule: long non-coding RNA, 262 nt
Filed under: Ictidomys tridecemlineatus (thirteen-lined ground squirrel)
Lineage: Eukaryota; Metazoa; Chordata; Mammalia; Rodentia; Sciuridae
Description: lncRNA (ENSSTOG00000034344.1)
Source: RNAcentral